AUUCAGAUUCUGUUUCCUCCUCUGAACUCAUUAGUGUCAUCUUCCUUGUCCUAGGAUGACUGCUGCUAUACAUCCAAGGUUCAUUUCCCCACCGUGGAAGAGCUGAAGAGAGAAAAGAGAAAGGGCAUAGCCUCUAAAGAGGCUCUACCUUUCUACCGAGAAGAAAACCUUCCAUGGCUUCCAGGCCUUGAAAUUUAAAUCUCAGAGCUGUAAAACAAGCAGACUUUAUAGCCCACAUCUUCAGUUGAGUGAAGCGGUCAGGACUGGAGCCAGCCACCUGCUCACAGGACUGUGGAGAAGGAAGAGCUAGGCAGAACCAGCUUUUAUUCGGUCCCCUUCUGCACCACCCCAUGCAAGUGGAAGACUAGGAGGAAGAGAG
RNAcentral lists this long non-coding RNA (379 nucleotides) under Fukomys damarensis (Damara mole-rat). RNAcentral's name for it is "lncRNA (ENSFDAG00000024970.1)". Lineage: Eukaryota; Metazoa; Chordata; Mammalia; Rodentia; Bathyergidae. The record is from RNAcentral.